CGACCGAAUCGUCUCAUAACGAGCUCUGACUUUGAGCGGUGCGGCCACCAGCUGAACUCUCGCCAAGAAAAGCUUGUUUCGUCUCUCGUGUUUCUCCCCGUCGUGGGUGGUGGUACUUUCCCUCUUCUACCUUCUGUCCACCCUUUUUUGCUCUAGCCAAUUUGUGUCAGUGUUUGAAGAUUUUUUUAAAAGGAAAAAACCAGAUUGUGUGCACGGUCUUUGUGGGGGCCUAUUGUGUCGCGACCUGUGAGAAUUUGUCGUCAAACGAAUAAGUUAAAAACGAAAGAAGAAAAACAGAAACAUUAAAUCGGUACAACAAAGGGAAAAUUUGUUGUGCGCCAGUGUUUGUGUGCGUGUGACGAAGAAAAUCGUCAUCCGUCAUCGGUGAAAACGAAAAAAAAAACAAGAAAAAGCUGUAAUCAACCGGCUGAUCAAACAGAGAACCACGAGCAAAGGGACAAAAA
Culex quinquefasciatus (southern house mosquito) is the source of this 464-nucleotide long non-coding RNA. RefSeq lists it as uncharacterized. The transcript is spliced from 2 exons. The record is from RefSeq and is a predicted model, not a curated record. Lineage: Eukaryota; Metazoa; Arthropoda; Insecta; Diptera; Culicidae.